This 253-nucleotide ribosomal RNA is filed under the name uncultured prokaryote. Its description in RNAcentral is "partial 16S ribosomal RNA". It matches the Rfam family "Bacterial small subunit ribosomal RNA", at positions 524 to 776 of the family's 1533-position model. The record is from RNAcentral.
GACGAAGGUGGCAACCGUUGCUCGGAUUCACUGGGCGUAAAGCGCACGUAGGUGGUUUGCUAAGUCAGCUGUGAAAUCCCCGGGCUCAACCUGGGCACUGCAGUUGAAACUGGCAAGCUAGAGUAGGGUAGAGGGGUGUGGAAUUCCAGGUGUAGCAGUGAAAUGCGUAGAUAUCUGGAGGAACAUCAGUGGCGAAGGCGACACCCUGGACUCAUACUGACACUGAGGUGCGAAAGCGUGGGGAGCAAACAGG